GUGCCCAAGUUAAGAGAGGGAGUGACCUUCCAGAUGAGCAGCUCUCAGGGUAUGAAGAUGUGGGGGAAGCUGAAGGAGUCAAUCUCUUAGAGAAGACGAUCACUGGUGACGACCCAGAAAACUAUGAUGACCAUGUUUGUGAGAAAGAGACUCCAGAAAAGUUGAAAGGGGUAGAUACCCUGGAGUACUACAAUGACAGCCCUGCAGGUCAGACACCUGACUAUGAUGAUGUCACUGACAGCCAGACCAAUGACUAUGAUGUCGUCUCUG
Non-coding RNA from Paramormyrops kingsleyae, 270 nucleotides. NCBI's taxonomy places the organism in Eukaryota, Metazoa, Chordata, Actinopteri, Osteoglossiformes, Mormyridae. The record is from RefSeq and is a predicted model, not a curated record.